RNAcentral lists this ribosomal RNA (1380 nucleotides) under Triticum aestivum (bread wheat). Its description in RNAcentral is "partial small subunit ribosomal RNA". The record is from RNAcentral. Lineage: Eukaryota; Viridiplantae; Streptophyta; Magnoliopsida; Poales; Poaceae.
AUGCCGCCCAAAUCACUUCUAGCACUAGCCCUCCUGGCCAUCCUCAUGCUAUUCUCCCAUGGUGUCACGACCUUGGGAUCGCCACAGCCGCUCAACGGCACCGGCGGAAGUUUCAGCCUCAAGCUCAUCGUCAACCACCAGCCGGCACACUAUGACUUGGCGAGCCUCCAGCGUGCCAAGGACCAAGUAAAAUGCAGGAUCAAGCACCAGAUCCUGCCAACGAGCAAUGAGAUACGGCCGUUCAUGUGCCCACCGGCGGACAUGGUGUACGCCGUCAUGGUGGGCGUCGGAACGCAGACCGGGUUCCAGAACUACCAACUGGCGCUGGACAUGGCGGUUGGACUGUCCUGGAUACAGUGCUGGCCGUGCCGGCCAUGUCGGCCGCAGCUAAGCCCGGUGUUCGACCCAACAAAGUCCCCGACCUUCCAAUACAUCUCGGGGAACAAUGGCGUCUGGUGUCGUGCGCCCUACCGAGCUUUGCCAAACGGGGCUUGCGGGUUCCGCAUUGCCUACCGGCACACCCCCGAGGUUUCGGGGUACCUCGCCAGGGACACCUUCUCCUUCCCCACCAGGAACAAUGACUUCGUGCCACUGGAGGGCAUCUUCUUCGGCUGCGCCCACCAGACUGAGGGCUUCGACACCCACGGCGCCCUCGCGGGUCUCCUCGGCUUGGGAAUAGGAGUGGUGGGCAGGCCUCCGACCGCCUUCACGAAGCAGGUCCUUCCAGGCCAUGGAGGUCGCUUCUCCUACUGCCCGUUCGUGCCCGGGAUGAGCACGUACAGCUACUUUCGGUUUGGCAACGACAUCCCAAGCAAUCCACCGCCAAAUGUGUCACGCCAGAGCACGCCAGUCCUUGCGCCACUCCAGAACAGCGAGGCGUACUACAUCCAGCUCGUCGGGGUCAGCGUCGGCGGCAGCCGAGUGACUCGCGUCACGCACCAUUUCUUUCGGCGCAACGCGCACGGGACGGGCGGGUGCGCGAUCGACAUCGGCACACAGAUGACUGCGUUUGUGCACUCAGCGUACGUCUACAUCGAGGAGGCGGUGCUGCAACACCUGCGGCGCCACGGAGCACACAUCGUGCAGGUGGAAGGCCACACGUGUGUCCGGCAGCCGGCGCCGCACCAAGAUGUUCUCCCGAGCAUGACACUGCAUUUUGUGAACAGAUCGUGGCUCCGGAUCAUGCCAGACCAGGUAUUCAUGAAGCUUGUCCAUGGCGGCCACCAGUACCGGUGCCUUGGCUUUGUCUCGGACAGCGACAGGACGAUCAUCGGCGCCAUGCAACAGAUCAACCAUCGCUUCAUCUUCGACCUCCGUGAUACCACACCCAUCAUGAGCUUUAAUCCGGAGGACUGUCACCUCGAUGCCGCCGGUAGCUAA